CAGUCGCCGCGGGAAUACGUAGGGGGCAAGCGUUGUCCGGAAUUAUUGGGCGUAAAGCGUGCGCAGGCGGUUUUUUAAGUCUGGUGUCUAGGUGCGGGGCUCAACCCCGUGACGCACUGGAAACUGGGAGACUUGAGUGCAGAAGAGGAGAGCGGGAUUCCACGUGUAGCGGUGAAUGCGUAGAUAUCGGAAGGAACACCUGUGGCGAAAGCGGCUCACUGGACCAUUUCUGACGCUGAUGCACGAAAGCUAGGGGAGCAAACAGGAUUAGAUACCCCCGUAGUCCCUGUCUCUUAUACAC
This 301-nucleotide ribosomal RNA is filed under the name uncultured bacterium. RNAcentral's name for it is "partial 16S ribosomal RNA". It matches the Rfam family "Bacterial small subunit ribosomal RNA", at positions 509 to 809 of the family's 1533-position model. The record is from RNAcentral.